AUUGAACGCUGGCGGCAUGCUUUACACAUGCAAGUCGAACGGCAGCGCGGGGCAACCUGGCGGCGAGUGGCGAACGGGUGAGUAAUAUAUCGGAACGUACCCAGAAGUGGGGGAUAACGUAGCGAAAGUUACGCUAAUACCGCAUACGAUCUACGGAUGAAAGUAGGGGACCGAAAGGCCUUAUGCUUUUGGAGCGGCCGAUAUAUGAUUAGCUAGUUGGUGAGGUAAAGGCUCACCAAGGCGACGAUCAGUAGCUGGACUGAGAGGACGACCAGCUACACUAGAACUGAGACACGGUCCAGACUCCUACGGCAGGCAGCAGUGGGGAAUUUUUGACAAUGGGCGCAAGCCUGAUCCAGCAAUGCCGCGUGAGUGAAGAAGGCCUUCGGGUUGUAAAGCUCUUUUGUCAGGGAAGAAACGGUAGAGGCUAAUAUCCUUUGCUAAUGACGGUACCUGAAGAAUAAGCACCGGCUAACUACGUG
RNAcentral lists this ribosomal RNA (482 nucleotides) under uncultured bacterium. Its description in RNAcentral is "partial 16S ribosomal RNA". It matches the Rfam family "Bacterial small subunit ribosomal RNA", at positions 30 to 507 of the family's 1533-position model. The record is from RNAcentral.